ACUCCGGAAGAACUCAUCUCUUGGGACGAUCGCAGACAGAGGCUUUUUGCCAUGUUUUCAAGAACUCGGUUGAACUUUGGGGAGCACACGAGCCACCACAUCCUCUAUGGGCAACACAUUUGGAAUCCAUUUUGAGGCACAUCAGAGAAUUUCUCCUGGCAUCCUGGCUGGUCCUAGUCACUCCCACUGGAUUAUGUGGAUUCAGCAGAGGCUUGGCUGUUUCUGCUGGAUCAUAACACUGCUGCUGAUUCCUGUUUGGUAUCCUGACACUACUGAACUGGACUGCUGGUGUCCUGGCAACGGAGAUUGGAAUCACCUCAAAGAAUUACUUCUAAACAGGUCCACACCCCCAUGUCCUAUUCACCAUCUUUUUCCCCUACCUUUGAAAGGUGGGCUAGAAGUGGGGUCAAAGCAUUUGG
Molecule: long non-coding RNA, 419 nt
Filed under: Rattus norvegicus (Norway rat)
Lineage: Eukaryota; Metazoa; Chordata; Mammalia; Rodentia; Muridae
Description: long non-coding RNA NONRATT029146
Source: RNAcentral